This 49-nucleotide transfer RNA is filed under the name Myrmoplasta mira. RNAcentral's name for it is "partial tRNA-Ile". The record is from RNAcentral. Lineage: Eukaryota; Metazoa; Arthropoda; Insecta; Hemiptera; Pyrrhocoridae.
AAAAGGGUUAUUUUGAUAGAAUAGGUCAUGUAAAAUUAAAUUACUCUUA